Molecule: unclassified non-coding RNA, 225 nt
Filed under: Hevea brasiliensis (rubber tree)
Lineage: Eukaryota; Viridiplantae; Streptophyta; Magnoliopsida; Malpighiales; Euphorbiaceae
Source: RNAcentral
AAGAAGACGAAUCAACCAUUUAAGAAAUGUGAAACCAUAUGAGUAUACUUUACCAAGUACACAAGCAUAUAAUGAGCCCAUGAUUCAGUACUCAUCAUGGUCAUAGAAGUUCAUCAUUCCUUUCGAGCAUCACAAACAAUUAGCUUUACAGCCAACAAAAAACACCAAAAUUAAUAAAUCCUAACUUGAAAGCCUGACCUCUCAAUCUUCGUCUCUUUCAGGGGG